This 253-nucleotide ribosomal RNA is filed under the name uncultured bacterium. Its description in RNAcentral is "partial 16S ribosomal RNA". It matches the Rfam family "Bacterial small subunit ribosomal RNA", at positions 524 to 776 of the family's 1533-position model. The record is from RNAcentral.
UACAGAGGGUGCGAGCGUUGUUCGGAAUUACUGGGCGUAAAGCGUGCGUAGACGGCUAUCUAAGUCGGGUGUGAAAGCCCCGGGCUCAACCUGGGAAUUGCAUUCGAGACUGAAUAGCUAGGGUACGGUAGAGGGAAGUGGAAUUUCCGGUGUAGCGGUGAAAUGCGUAGAUAUUCGGAAGAACACCAGUGGCGAAGGCGACUCGCUGGACAAGUAUUGACGCUGAGGUGCGAAAGCGUGGGGAGCAAACAGG